This 401-nucleotide unclassified non-coding RNA is filed under the name Hevea brasiliensis (rubber tree). Lineage: Eukaryota; Viridiplantae; Streptophyta; Magnoliopsida; Malpighiales; Euphorbiaceae. The record is from RNAcentral.
AAAUCUUUUCUCGCUUUUCCAGUGGAACCCCAUGAUUGAUCACUUGAAAAAACCCCCAGUCUCUGCAUGCAUCGCCUAUCUUCUUUACAAGAUCCUCCAGGGAGGCAUCAGGAGAGCUCGGAAUGGAUAGAUCAAUUAGGGGUAUUCCCUGUGCUUCAAUGUUUUGCAGGCUUGGCCUGUGUUCUAGAGCUUGGAAGAAGGCUGGAUCGACCUCUCCCAUGUUAAUGAUUUUGGAUUUGAUGAGAAUAUGAGGCUGACAUUAUGGUUUUAUAUAUAGUGAUUAGUGUGAAGGAAAUAAAGGAAUUAAUGGAAAGUGAACCUAGACAGGAUUUGGCGCUUUAUCAGGAUGGUGUAUUUGGUGGUGCCAAAGCAAAUGAAUACAAUUUGGCUUGGAAGAUUUG